AUGAAAAUAAGGCAAUUGACAAGUGUAGAGGUUGAUUGCAACAAAUGUGAAGAUAUGGUUGGGUAUAUGAGAGAGUUUGGAAAGGAUUUUAGGAAGGAGUUUGGCAAGGAACUUUACAAGAAAUUUGGCAAGGAGUAUGACAAAGAUUCAUGCACAAAAAAGCUUGAAAAACUAGGAAGAUGCUACAAAAUGAAAGGAAAAAAUAGUUAUUUGUUAACAAUUGCCCUAAUUAUUUUAUGGAUGUUAUUUGUUACUGCAUAUAAUAAGAUGUAA
This is a non-coding RNA of Vicia faba (fava bean), 273 nucleotides long. NCBI's taxonomy places the organism in Eukaryota, Viridiplantae, Streptophyta, Magnoliopsida, Fabales, Fabaceae. The record is from the annotation of a GenBank genome assembly.